This 258-nucleotide unclassified non-coding RNA is filed under the name Hevea brasiliensis (rubber tree). The record is from RNAcentral. Lineage: Eukaryota; Viridiplantae; Streptophyta; Magnoliopsida; Malpighiales; Euphorbiaceae.
CUCAAGUUAGAGGACUGGAUGAAAUAUGAAGAAGAAUUAUAAUGAGAUUUUGAGAGUAAGAAUUAACUUGUUUCUGAUUACUUGAUUGGUACUUAUAGGCUUUUUAGGAAACUAGUCAUUGUUUCAUUUAUGGCGACAAUCUCGGUUGAUAUGUCGAGAUUGCCUCCAUGAAAUUCGAUGUUGCUUUAUUAUUGGUGUGACUAUUGCUCGAUAUAUCUUUCGCUCACCUUGUCGAGAAAGCAAACGUACUUUGUUUGG